UUAAAGGGCUGCAGUAUAUUGACUGUACAAAGGUAGCAUAAUCAUUAGUCUCUUAAUUGGUGACUUGUAUGAAUGAUUUGAUGAAAUAUAAACUGUCUCUAAUUUAUUAAAUAAAAUUUAAUUUUUUAAUUAAAAAGUUAAAAUAAAUUUAAAAGACGAGAAGACCCUAUAGAGUUUAAUAAAUUAAUUAGUUAAAAAAAUUUAUAUAUUGAAUAGUUAAAAUUAAUUUGAUUUAUUUUGUUGGGGUGAUAAAAAAAUAAAAAAAACUUUUUUUAUAAUUAUAUAAACAUAGAUAAUUGAGUAAAUGAUCCAAAAUUUUUGAUUAUAAGAAAAAAUUACCUUAGGGAUAACAGCGUAAUUUUUUUUUUUAGUUCA
Molecule: ribosomal RNA, 375 nt
Filed under: Pyralidae sp. BAH_28362_E12
Lineage: Eukaryota; Metazoa; Arthropoda; Insecta; Lepidoptera; Pyralidae
Description: partial 16S ribosomal RNA
Source: RNAcentral